This 468-nucleotide ribosomal RNA is filed under the name uncultured bacterium. RNAcentral's name for it is "partial 16S ribosomal RNA". It matches the Rfam family "Bacterial small subunit ribosomal RNA", at positions 28 to 507 of the family's 1533-position model. The record is from RNAcentral.
GACGAACGCUGGCGGCGUGCUUAACACAUGCAAGUCGAACGGAAAGGCCCUGAUUUUGUGGGGUGCUCGAGUGGCGAACGGGUGAGUAACACGUGAGUAACCUGCCCUUGACUUUGGGAUAACUUUAGGAAACUGGGGCUAAUACAGGAUAGGAGCUCCUGCUGCAUGGUGGGGGUUGGAAAGUUUCGGCGGUUGGGGCUGGACUCGCGGCUUAUCAGCUUGUUGGUGGGGUAGUGGCUUACCAAGGCUUUGACGGGUAGCCGGCCUGUGAGGGUGACCGGCCACAUUGGGACUGAGAUACGGCCCAGACUCCUACGGGAGGCAGCAGUGGGGAAUAUUACACAAUGGGCGGAAGCCUGAGGCAGCAACGCCGCGUGCGGGAUGACCGCCUUCGGGUUAUAAACCGCUUUCUCCUGUGACGAAGCGUGAGUGACGGUAAUGAGUAAGAAAGCACCGGCUAACUACGUG